AACGAACGCUGGCGGCGUGGAUAAGACAUGCAAGUCGAGCGGGACACUGCGGGUAGCAAUAUUCGGAGUGUUCAGCGGCGCAAGGGUGCGUAACACGUGGGCAAUCUGCCGUGAAGCCCGGAAUAACCUCGAGAAAUCGAAGCUAAUACCGGAUGUGAUUUUUGGAGGACAUCCUUUGAAAAUUAAAGCUGGGGAUCGUAAGACCUGGCACUUCUCGAUGAGCCCGCGGCCUAUCAGCUAGUUGGUGAGGUAACGGCUCACCAAGGCUAAGACGGGGUAGCUGGUCUGAGAGGACGACCAGCCACACUGGAACUGAGACACGGUCCAGACACCUACGGGUGGCAGCAGUCGAGAAUUUUUCACAAUGGGCGAAAGCCUGAUGGAGCGACGCCGC
Molecule: ribosomal RNA, 394 nt
Filed under: uncultured bacterium
Lineage: Bacteria
Description: bacterial SSU rRNA
Rfam family: Bacterial small subunit ribosomal RNA
Source: RNAcentral